CGCGUAGGCGGUGCGGUAAGUCACCUGUGAAAUCUCCGGGCUUAACUCGGAGCCUGCAGGCGAAACUGCCGUGCUGGAGUAUGGGAGAGGUGCGUGGAAUUCCCGGUGUAGCGUUGAAAUGCGUAGAUAUCGGGAGGAACACCUGUGGCGAAAGCGGCGCACUGGACCAUAACUGACGCUGAGGCGCGAAAGCUAGGGAGCAAACA
Molecule: ribosomal RNA, 206 nt
Filed under: uncultured bacterium
Lineage: Bacteria
Description: partial 16S ribosomal RNA
Rfam family: Bacterial small subunit ribosomal RNA
Source: RNAcentral